Molecule: ribosomal RNA, 509 nt
Filed under: uncultured bacterium
Lineage: Bacteria
Description: bacterial SSU rRNA
Rfam family: Bacterial small subunit ribosomal RNA
Source: RNAcentral
AGAGUUUGAUCAUGGCUCAGAGUGAACGCUGGCGGCAGGCCUAAUACAUGCAAGUCGAACGGCAGCACAGCAGAGCUUGCUCCGUGGGUGGCGAGUGGCGGACGGGUGAGGAAUACGUGGGAAUCUGCCCAGUCGUGGGGGAUAACGUAGGGAAACUUACGCUAAUACCGCAUGCGCCCUUCGGGGGAAGCCGGGGACCUUCGGGCCUGGCGCGAUUGGAUGAGCCCACGUCGGAUUAGCUAGUUGGCGGGGUAAAGGCCCACCAAGGCGACGAUCCGUAGCUGGUCUGAGAGGAUGAUCAGCCACACUGGAACUGAGACACGGUCCAGACUCCUACGGGAGGCAGCAGUAGGGAAUAUUGGACAAUGGGCGCAAGCCUGAUCCAGCCAUGCCGCGUGAGUGAAGAAGGCCCUCGGGUUGUAAAGCUCUUUUGUCCGGAAAGAAAAGCGCCGGGUUAAUACCCUGGUGUCCUGACGGUACCGGAAGAAUAAGCACCGGCUAACUUCGUG